RNAcentral lists this ribosomal RNA (256 nucleotides) under uncultured bacterium. Its description in RNAcentral is "partial 16S ribosomal RNA". It matches the Rfam family "Bacterial small subunit ribosomal RNA", at positions 524 to 776 of the family's 1533-position model. The record is from RNAcentral.
UACGGGGGGGGCAAGCGUUGUUCGGAAUUACUGGGCGUAAAGGGCUCGUAGGCGCCAUCUCAAGUCGGACGUGGAAAUCCCCAGGCCUUAACUUGGGAACUGCGUCCGAUACUGGAUGGCUUGAGUGCGGGAGAGGGAUGUGGAAUUCCAGGUGUAGCGGUGAAAUGCGCAGAUAUCAGGAGGAACACCCGUGGCGAAGGCGGUUCUCUGGGACGGUACUGACGCUGGAGACGCGAAAGCGUGGGGAGCAAACAGG